Molecule: long non-coding RNA, 3227 nt
Filed under: Homo sapiens (human)
Lineage: Eukaryota; Metazoa; Chordata; Mammalia; Primates; Hominidae
Description: HSALNT0345948
Source: RNAcentral
CCCCUUAUGAACAAAUUUAGACAAAGAAUAGUGGGCAGUCAGAGAUCACUCCUGGUUCCCCCUUAUCUAUGGUCUAUGUGCCAGCAAACCCAUUUGAUGGGGGUCUGGGUUUUUUAAAAAACAAUUCAGGGAUAUAUGUUAAGAUGUUGUCUUUAGUUUCCAUAGAAAACCAAACAUCUUGUGACUCUAACUUCCUUGGCUAUUGCUUUAAGCUACUAUUACCUUCUUGCUUAUCAAGUUGUUCCUUUACUUCUCAGGGCUAGCUGUAAUUUCCCUUUAAGGAACUCAAGAUUUUCCUUUAUUUCCAUGUUUGUGGGGGUUGUCCAACAGAUCCCUAGGAGGGGUCCAUGCUCCGUCUCAUUUGCAACAUUCCAGAAGCCUUAAAAUAUAUCUAUUAUUUGGCCUAGCAAUUCCUCUUUCAGGAAUUUAUCCUAAGAAACGAUUUUUUAAAUUAAACAUUAUAUAUAAAGAUAUUAAGCAGUAUUUAUAACAGUAAAAAUGGAGCCAACCAGAAUGUUCAAUAACAAGACACUGAUUAAAAUAACUAAUGGAACAUUAUGAUGAAAUUCUAUCAUUAAAAAAUAAUACUGAAAGCAAUUUGUUACUGGUAAUGAUGUAAUACCUUGAAUCAACUAAUCAUUGUACCAAAAACAAUUAGAAACUCUGAGGCAAAAUGUUGUUUCAAAAGAUUGCUGUUUGAAGUCUUGUCCAGCAUGUAAGGAGCUCAGAAGUUAUCACUCCCAUUCUCACACAAGAAAAAGUCUGACCAAACUGUAAAUCAACAACUCUUUCCAUAUCCACCAGGAAAUUGAAGUCACUGAUUCCCCGCAAAAUUGAAAAGACAGACAGGUAGAUACAUAGAAUCAGAACUCAAUGAAGCAGAAGCCAGGAAACAGAAGUCUCCAUGGGAACCAGUACUGAAGAAAGAAAUUCUAAAAUGUAAUUGACAAAUUGCUGGAGGCUCAGUGUGGACAAAUCUGAGAGUUAAAAACUCUGGGAGAAUCAACUAUCCAGUGUUCAGUCACUUCCUUUGAAAGGCUACUACAUCAUGGUGACUUGAUCCAAACAUCGAAGUUAACAUUCCAUCACCUAAACUAUACUGAAGGCUGGAGGGAGGGGAAGCCAACAGAGGAGAGGUCAGAAGAGAAGGAAAUCUAUAAUGGUCAGAAGAGGAAAUUAAUAGACAUGGUCUAAGAUUGAUAAAUCAAGAAAUCAUCAUAGAUGAAGGUGAAUGCCAAGAAAAACAAGCCCCAGAGAUGAAAGCAACUGUCUCUGAAGUGAAACUGGAGGCUGGAAGGGGAAGGGAGGGAACUGAAGUUUUUCAUCCUAAGCUUUUUAAUUCUAUGACUGUUUUCCUCCAUAUGUGUGUGUGACUUUGAGACACAUUAUUUACUUUUAAAAUUGGAGACAAAAAGAUGUGCCACAUAGGUGAUGAAAGGAGAAUAUGUCUACAAAGCAAUCCCUGUCAAAAAUAUGCAUUCUUAGGAACACCACAGUCUCAUGGCUCAUGUUAGAGCCAUUUCUAAUUGCUUUCCUUCUCUCCCACAGUUGCUCCCUGAGAAGGUAACUGAGAGAAAGCCCAGUAUCUCACAAACCUUCACUUUCUUUCCCUAUUUCAGCUACAAAUUUCUUGUAUUAAUUUCUUGUGACUGCUGUAACAAAUUACCACAAACCGGGCACUUCAGACAACAGAAAUUUAUUUCCUCACAGUUCUGGGGAUGGAAAGUUCAAAAUCAAGGUAUCAGCAGGGUCACACUCCCUCGGGAGGCGCUAGCCUCCUUCCUUGCCUCUUCCAGCUUCUGGGGGCUCCAAGCAUCCCUUAGCUUGUGGCCACCUCACUCCAAUCUCUGUGACCACACUGUCUCCCCCUUGUCUGUCUCAAAACUCCUUCUGUCUCUCUUUUAGAGGGAUACUUGUGAUGGCAUUUAGGGCCAACCCAGAUAAUCGAGGAUAAUCUCUUCAUCUCAGAACCCUUAACUUAAUCAUAUCUGCAAAGUCCCCUUUUGCCAUUUAAAGUACCAUUCAUCGGUUCCAAGGAUUAGAACUUAUACAUAUCAUUUUGGAGGCCACUAUUCACCCCCAGGACAUUAUCCCUACAUCAUUUCAUGCCUGUGCCUCUGCUCUCCUGGGCUCCAAUUUAUACUAUACCACGGCUGGAAGAAUCCCAUGUCCACGUCAUUUUCACCACACCCCUCCACUCUCAAAACCUCGACCAGGAUUCCUCUUGCCAUUGAAUCAGAGCCGGCUGCAACUGGAAGGGGCCUGAGAGACCUCCUCAUCCCUCUUCUAACCAAUGAGGAACUGAGGCCAGGGGGCUUACCAGGUCACAUAGCUCACCAGUAACAGCUUAGAGCAUCUCUUGAUUUCUAAGCAAAAACUAGUCCCACAAAACCAUGCCCGUUACUCACAGUGGUCCCCUCCUAUCUCGCCAACCCUAUUUCCUUCACAGCCAGCCUCAGCUCCUGUCAGCUAAUCCAUCUGCUCCUGUUCCUUUUGAUUUGUAUAGGUACAAAUAACCUUGCCUGCAAGUCUAAUCCCAAAAUCACCUCUUUUAGGAAGUCUUUUCUGGUUAAAAAUGUCUAAUUAUAAUCACUUCUUUGUUCUGUGGUCCCUCAGAAAUCCUGUAGUAAGUUGGGGCUAUAUUAGUUGCACUCACUUAUUUGUGGCCUUCAAACAUUCUAAUUUUUGGGUUCUAGCUACAGGUUUAAUCCCAAAUUUUUCACACCUUUGAUAUCCUUCUCCACACUACUCAGCCCAUAAUCUAACACACUGCAUUCCCUCUCUUUCUCCCUCUCCCUCAGACACACACACACACACAAAUACGCAUGCACACGCGCAAGUUGCUACUGUCACUUCUUAAAAGUUGACUAGGCCAGGCCCAGUGGCUCAUGCCUGUAAUCACAGCACUUUGGGAGGCCGAGGUAGGUGGAUCACUCGAGGUCAGGAGUUCUAGACCAUCCAGCCUGGCCAACAUGGUGAAACCCCAUCUCUACUAAAAAUGCAAAAAUUAGCCGGGUGUGGUGGCGCAUGCCUGUAAUCCCAGCUACUUGAGGCAGGAGAAUCGCUUGAACCCAGGAGGCAGAGGUUGCAGCAAGCCGAGAUCGCGCCAUUGCACUCCAGCCUGGGCAACAAGAGUGAAACUCCAUCUUAAAAAAAAUAAAUAAAUAAGUUGUUGACUAAGGGAUCACAUCCUGUGAACUACAGCCAGGUGUGUCUGGACAGAGAAC